This 400-nucleotide RNase P RNA is filed under the name Caulobacteraceae bacterium. Its description in RNAcentral is "RNase P RNA component class A". It matches the Rfam family "Bacterial RNase P class A". Rfam says of the family: Ribonuclease P (RNase P) is a ubiquitous endoribonuclease, found in archaea, bacteria and eukarya as well as chloroplasts and mitochondria. Its best characterised activity is the generation of mature 5'-ends of tRNAs by cleaving the 5'-leader elements of precursor-tRNAs. The record is from RNAcentral. Lineage: Bacteria; Pseudomonadati; Pseudomonadota; Alphaproteobacteria; Caulobacterales; Caulobacteraceae.
UCAGACGGCCGGGCGGUCGCUCUUCUCAUUUCGGUGAGGAGGGAGGAAAGUCCGGGCUCCACGGCGAAUAGGCGGCGGGUAACGCCCGCCGGGGGCGACCCCAGGGAUAGCGCCACAGAAAGUAAACCGCCCGCGUCCUAGCGUCGCGGGUAAGGGUGAAAGGGUGGGGUAAGAGCCCACCGCGGACCCGGUGACGGGGACGGCAUGGCAAGCCCCGCUUGGAGCAAGACCGAAUAGGAACAACGCGCCACGGCUUGCCGUGGCAGGGCCUCGCCGGCCCGAGUUGUUCGGGUAGGUCGCGAGAACCGGCCAGCAAUGGCCGGUCCAGAGGAAUGGCCGCCGCGUAACGGGGUUAUGCCCCGUUGCGGCACAGAACCCGGCUUACAGGCCGUCUGAUCCA